RNAcentral lists this ribosomal RNA (417 nucleotides) under uncultured bacterium. RNAcentral describes it as "bacterial SSU rRNA". It matches the Rfam family "Bacterial small subunit ribosomal RNA", at positions 362 to 776 of the family's 1533-position model. The record is from RNAcentral.
UAUUGGUCAAUGGGCGAGAGCCUGAACCAGCCCAGUCGCGUGAAGGAUGAAGGAUCUAUGGUUUGUAAACUUCUUUUAUAUGGGCAUAAAGUGAGGAACGUGUUCCUUUUUGUAUGUACCAGAUGAAUAAGCAUCGGCUAACUCCGUGCCAGCAGCCGCGGUAAUACGGAGGAUGCGAGCGUUAUCCGGAUUUAUGGGGUUUACAGGGUGCGUAGGUGUUUAAUUAAGUCAGCGGUGAAAGUUUGUGGCUCAACCAUAAAAUUGCCGUUGAAACUGGUUGACUUGAGUAUAUUUGAGGGAGGCGGAAUGCGUGGUGUAGCGGUGAAAUGCAUAGAUAUCACGCAGAACUCCGAUUGCGAAGGCAGCUUACUAAACUAUAACUGACACUGAAGCACGAAAGCGUGGGGAUCAAACAGG